AGCGUAGACGGCGACGCAAGUCUGAAGUGAAAGGCGGGGGCUCAACCCCUGGACUGCAUUGGAAACUGUUAGUCUUGAGUGCCGGAGAGGUAAGCGGAAUUCCUAGUGUAGCGGUGAAAUGCGUAGAUAUUAGGAGGAACACCAGUGGCGAAGGCGGCUUACUGGACGGUAACUGACGUUGAGGCUCGAAAGCGUGGGGAGGCAAAACA
This 209-nucleotide ribosomal RNA is filed under the name uncultured bacterium. RNAcentral describes it as "partial 16S ribosomal RNA". It matches the Rfam family "Bacterial small subunit ribosomal RNA", at positions 568 to 776 of the family's 1533-position model. The record is from RNAcentral.